UUUCAGGAAUGCUCUGAAACGUUCCCUUAGUGAUUAAAACGUGCAUGUUUAAGAUGUGCACUAAGUGUCUGUUUUUGCAGUAGAACACCAGUGCACUGCCCUGACCCCGAGUAUUUUCUAUGGCACUUGGUAAAAAUAAAACAUUGUGUUUGCUUUCCUCAUCAAGGCUGUCCACGAGUGGGAUUUCCUGCAGCUCUUUUUAGCUCGGCCAGUUUCCCUGAAUGUGAGCAGGCGCACCUGACAGCGGGAUCUCCCUUCACCUGCUGGACCGGGUCUCUCCCAGGGGGCAGCCAUUGGGGUCACCGCAGGAAAAUUUCAGAAUUUCGAGCUCCACCUACAUUAUUUCCAAAACAAGAACGGCAUCUCAGCGCGUGGGGGAAUUGAGUUGACAGCAGUAACAGCUGAACGCCCCCGUCGGCCCUACUCCGGCAAUGUGCCAUCAUAUCACUGUCCACCCAGCGUGUCUCAGUCCUGCCCUGCCCUGCCCUGCCUCUCCUUCUCCUGCCUGACCUCGGUGGCAGCAGAUUCAUGGAAGAAUCUCUCAUCUGGACACAAACCGCCAGAUCUAUUUUUAAUAGAGCCUGCUCCUUCUGUUUCUCAGGGUGGGAAAAAAACAGUAGAACUGAAAGCUGAAUCAUCUGUUGCGAAGACAGAAACUUUCGCAUUCUGAAACUGCAAGAUGUAUUCAAAAAAAAUACAGAAAGUUGAAGUGUAAAUCUGAAUUGGGACAUUUUCCUUCAUUCAUUAAAAAUCCUGACAUGCGGAUUUUAUUUUUAUAGCAGCGCUUUUCCAGAGAUCACUCAAGUACCGCUGCUCUGAUGUACGUGGACUGAUGACUGUUUUUAGUAAGGCGUUCAAAAACCAAAAGCAAUUGCAAGUAAUAAAAUUUCAAAG
RNAcentral lists this long non-coding RNA (894 nucleotides) under Lepisosteus oculatus (spotted gar). RNAcentral's name for it is "lncRNA (ENSLOCG00000021698.1)". Lineage: Eukaryota; Metazoa; Chordata; Actinopteri; Semionotiformes; Lepisosteidae. The record is from RNAcentral.